Molecule: long non-coding RNA, 3429 nt
Organism: Marmota monax (woodchuck)
Lineage: Eukaryota; Metazoa; Chordata; Mammalia; Rodentia; Sciuridae
Exons: 3
Source: RefSeq, a predicted model, not a curated record
AAAGGACUGUUUCUCAGCAAGUGAUAUGUUUCUCAAAAGAUUCCAUACUGAAAAUAUUGUCUUCUGGAAAAAUCCUUCAGAGGUUGCUUGUGUAUUAACUCACAAACAACUAAACUGAGAUGCUAAAAUGGUUGGAUUUUGUUUCAAAAUGUAUGACCUACAUUGUAAAAUUCCUUUUGAGAAGAAUGAAAACUACAGUAACAAAAUUAAUGUUUGGUGUGGUUUUACUGCUAGGAGUUGCUUAAACAUUUACAAAUCGAAUUAGAUGGAUGAGAACUCUAGAUGGCAUGUCAGCACAAUGUAGUAUAAAGACUCCUGGCCAGGACCAAAUGGGACAUGGCUUCUGAGUGUCACUCUGCAGAAAAUCUGUGUAUCCUUGGUUCAGACGUAGAAACCUCAGAAGUUAUCACUUUCAUCUCUACAAGAAGAAAUUGAAGACAUUGAACAUCACUAAGAUGAGAGCAUAGAUGCCACAAGAUGAGAUUUCACCCCAAUAUCUGGAGAGUGAAGAAGGUACUGAGAGUCCCUUGGUCCCAGGUAUAGAAGCUCUCCAAUGGAACCAGGGAUAGCAGUAUUAUUUACAAUAGUGCCGCAUACAGAACUCUAAAAUCUCAACAGGAAAAAAAAAAAAAGAUCCAAGUAAAAAGUAAACCAAGAAUCCUAAAUGAUAGCUUACCAAGAAGCUAUAGAAAGGCAAGAUGUGAAAGAAGCCUAACAUUAUAUGUCAUUAGAGAACUACAAAGUAAAAGAAUGAGAAUACCAUUAAAUACCUGUACAAUGGCCAGAAUCUAAAAGACACUGAUACCACCAAAGACUCAUGAGAAUUCGGAACAAGACCCUCGUUCACUGCUGGUGUGGAUAACACUGAAAAAUGUUUUGACUUUUUUUUUUAACAAAACAAAACCCUCAUUACUCAAUGCCACAUAAAAACACUUCUUUAUAUGUACUCAAAUGGCUAAGAAAUGUAGGUCCACAGAGAAGUUUAUUCACAAGGUCAAAACUUGGAGACACACAGAUGUCCUUUUAUGAAUGGAUAAAUGAAUUGUGGUACGUUCAUAAAAUGGAAAGCUAUUCAGCCACAAAAAGAAAUAAAGUAUCAAUCUGUAAAACACUUGAAGGGAAUUAAAUGCAUACUGCUAACUGAAAGAAGCCAGUCUGGAAUGCCUAUAAACAGUAAUAUUCCAACCAUAUGGUAUUUUCAAAAAGACAACAUUAUAAGACCAUAAAAAGUCCGUGAUUUCUCAGUUUGGAGGAAUAAGAGGGAAGAAUAAAUUGGUAGAACACAUGGAAUCUUUUGAGUUGUGGAAACUACUCUGUUUGAUAUUACUAUGGUGACCCCGAUACUGUGCUCUUAUUAAAAUCAAUAGUACUGUACAAUGCUGAGUCAAUCUCAAUUUAAACUAUAGAUUUCACUUAAUAAUAAUGCACUAAUACUAGUUUAUUAGUCAUAAUAAAUGUUCUUCUCUGUUGCAAGUUAUUAGGGUAAUCUGAGGGUAGAGGCUGAUAUGUGUGAGCUCUAGGUAAGUUCUGCACCAUUUAUCUGUAAUACCGCUUUAAAAUGAAAUUUUAUUAAUUAAAACUAUCAAGAAAGAAGCACGUAUUAUAUAACUAUAUGUAAUAAUGAGGAUUAAAUGAAGAAAAUAAAGAUAUGUACAAAAAUAAAGAUAUAUACAUUAUGAUGACAUACAUAUCAAAAUAAUUAGAAUGGAUAAGAGAGGAAAUAAGAGUCAAUGAUGAGAAAGAAAACAGUAAGAGAAGGGUUGGUGAUUAAAUAUAAGGUGUUAUUAAUAUAGGGGACAUAUUAAUAACAUUUCUUUUUUAUUGUUAUUUUUUAUUUACAUAUGACAGUGGAAUGCAUUACAAUUCAUAUUACACAAAAAGAGCACAAAUUUUUCAUAUCUCUGGUUGUAUACAAAGAAUAUUCACCCCACAUUUCUCUGCCUAAGGAUUCACAAAGACAAAAACUCCUAAGAAUUACUUCUGCACUUUUAAUAUUGACAACCUGACCAUCCAUUGUAAUAAAAGAAAGUUCGCUCUUGUUUGGAAAGUUUAUAAAGUAUAAAUAACAAGGGAAAAGGAAGAGGCAAGCAGGUAGGAGGGAAACAGGACCAGAUCUCCUGUUUCCAAGGAAGGACUUAAUUUUGGUAACAUUGUUAAGCUGCUAAGAGCCCUGGGUGACACAGCAUUGCAGCUUGUCAGGAUGCCUGUACUCCCUUUAAAUCACUUCGGUACUGAUAGUAUGGCACAGGCACUUGUCAAUUACUCUCACCUUGAGUUUCAGUAAGCCAGUUGCAGUAAUCAAAAAUGAAUAGUGCAGGGACACUAAGUGGUCAUGUAAGAAUGUACCUUCUGGGAUGGUCAUCUAGUUUUAUAUAAGGCAGGUUAUACAUGAAGAGAUGUCUGAUGCCAGAUUCUUUGAAAUCCUUGUCUUGAUCAACAAGUGACAAACAAGUUAGCAUUCAAUGAUAAAAAUGACUUCUUCAUUAUUAUGAUGAACCAUGAUAAGCUCUUUUUAGUGAACUUCAGAGCUCUUUUUUGGAUGCUCAGCACAUGUGCACAAGUUGAAACAGUUUGGAGGCUUUGCCUACUUUUAAGGAACCAUGUGUAAAAAUAUUUCUCAAUCUCAACGUUGUCACUGGAGGCUCCAUCCUAUAAUGUCCAGCACAGGGUUAUUGUGCUACAUCCUGGAAUAGGUUUUCAUUUCUGAUAGAUGCUGCUUAUAGAAGAAAACAGGAUCCUGCAUCAGCAAUGUUUGUCUGCCUCAUGAAGGUAUGACCAUAUCACCUAAAGGGAGAGAGGGCUAACAACUUUUUAUUAGAAAAAACAGGUUUAUAAACUGCUAUGAGCCAUGUUUGCUUACAAAUAUUUAAUAAAUACUAGCAUGGGUGCCAGAAUUUGACCAGAGACUUUGCUCAUUGUAACCUCAUGGCAGCUGUAGAGGAGUGUAAAAUUGACAGGGUUUAAGGACACAAGUGUAAUAAAGCACCUCAGAACAUCAAGUAUAAUGUGAAAUUAUAGAUCCUUGGAUUUAGCUACAGGAGUAUUUGAGUGAUGUGGUAAAAGAGGUUUCAGAAUUGUGGGGAAUUGAAACAGAAGAUAAGAUUGUACAACAGCAAAAUGUUAACUCUCUGAGCCAGUGUGAUGCAAGCAGGAGGUUUGCCCAACUGCUUUGCCUGAGAUACAGAGCAACCUGGCAGGGGGUAGCUCCCCCAGUGAGAGAGGUCACAUCCAGGCCACAACCAAUUCAACUUCCCAGGGAAGUCAGGGUUCCCUCCCUCAGGCAUGAGAAGCCCCAUGUGCCCUGAAGGACUUGGGGUGCUAAGCAGCUGGCAUACCACACAGUGCCUGGUAAUAUCCGAGCACAUAUGUCUACACUGUCAGAUGUGAAAUAGUGUGUCUCUAUACUGACAAGGUGUUUCCUACUUUGAG